UUGUAGAUAAUUGAAAUACCUUUCCAACCAUAGGUCGUGGGCCUGUAUGUGACAUCGGGAUAAAGAGUUAUGGACGUUUUAAGGCAGAAAGGUCAAGCUGGGCAGUGAAUUCGACCCAACCCGAUUCCAAGUAGGGUCAGGCCCAUUUCCUUGACAUUUAAGGGAUAUUUUCAGCCUCCCUUCUUCAUUUCCAGACCAAGAAAUAUCCAGAACAUUUUAGAGAGAGAGAGAGAGAGAGAGAGAACUCCUAGGCUAAGAAAAGCCAUUUUGGACCAAAAUCGGAGCCCCGAAUUCUGAAGCUCGUGAAGAGAAAAAUGUUGUACGUUGCAUUGCCUUCAGUUUGAGCCAGAAAUCAGCUAAGAAGGAGAGUGUUGACUUGGUUGCUGCAUACUUAAGGUAAUGUGCGAGAUGAGAUAUGAAGAUGGCCAUUUGGAGUAGACUUUUUGGGAGCCCUUGUGAAGAUCACAUCUGCAUAUGCAUCUAGUUUUUGUAAAUUUUUGGGGACUUGUACAUGAUACAUGUGUGGCACUUAUGUAUGAAAUUUUGAAGGCUUGUGGAAAACAAGACCAUAUGCUUGUAACUUGAGCUUGGUGACUUGUUUUGCUAUUUUAGGGUGUGCUUUUAACCCAAGUCAUGCCAUGUAUUGGGUUUAUAUUUUGUCUUGUAAUUAUGUACAAAUGAUGAUAAUAGUUUAGUGAAAAUUACUAGUUUAAGUUUUGUGUA
Molecule: long non-coding RNA, 723 nt
Organism: Lycium barbarum (goji berry)
Lineage: Eukaryota; Viridiplantae; Streptophyta; Magnoliopsida; Solanales; Solanaceae
Exons: 2
Source: RefSeq, a predicted model, not a curated record